RNAcentral lists this ribosomal RNA (651 nucleotides) under Janthinobacterium sp. SUN033. RNAcentral describes it as "bacterial SSU rRNA". It matches the Rfam family "Bacterial small subunit ribosomal RNA", at positions 878 to 1533 of the family's 1533-position model. Lineage: Bacteria; Pseudomonadati; Pseudomonadota; Betaproteobacteria; Burkholderiales; Oxalobacteraceae. The record is from RNAcentral.
GAGUACGGUCGCAAGAUUAAAACUCAAAGGAAUUGACGGGGACCCGCACAAGCGGUGGAUGAUGUGGAUUAAUUCGAUGCAACGCGAAAAACCUUACCUACCCUUGACAUGGCUGGAAUCCCCAAGAGAUUGGGGAGUGCUCGAAAGAGAACCAGUACACAGGUGCUGCAUGGCUGUCGUCAGCUCGUGUCGUGAGAUGUUGGGUUAAGUCCCGCAACGAGCGCAACCCUUGUCAUUAGUUGCUACGAAAGGGCACUCUAAUGAGACUGCCGGUGACAAACCGGAGGAAGGUGGGGAUGACGUCAAGUCCUCAUGGCCCUUAUGGGUAGGGCUUCACACGUCAUACAAUGGUACAUACAGAGCGCCGCCAACCCGCGAGGGGGAGCUAAUCGCAGAAAGUGUAUCGUAGUCCGGAUUGUAGUCUGCAACUCGACUGCAUGAAGUUGGAAUCGCUAGUAAUCGCGGAUCAGCAUGUCGCGGUGAAUACGUUCCCGGGUCUUGUACACACCGCCCGUCACACCAUGGGAGCGGGUUUUACCAGAAGUAGGUAGCUUAACCGCAAGGAGGGCGCUUACCACGGUAGGAUUCGUGACUGGGGUGAAGUCGUAACAAGGUAGCCGUAUCGGAAGGUGCGGCUGGAUCACCUCCUUU